Paramacrobiotus metropolitanus is the source of this 926-nucleotide long non-coding RNA. RefSeq lists it as uncharacterized. The record is from RefSeq and is a predicted model, not a curated record. NCBI's taxonomy places the organism in Eukaryota, Metazoa, Tardigrada, Eutardigrada, Parachela, Macrobiotidae. The transcript is spliced from 3 exons.
UCCGUCCGUGCCAACGGACGGUUCGAUUUUCAAACACUGCGUUAGUUGCGGGCACGUGGCGUUGUUCUGGAAGAAGGUCUUCAGGAGUUUUGCCGGUUUCAGCGAGCUGCUUUUCAAACCGGGAUCCAGAGUGGUGGCAAAGGGAUUGGCUCGCAUAAGGUCAUAGCCUAAACCCAGAUACCGGGCCACGCCGACCUCCGCCGUGCUGAGUGUAACUUCGUUGGAAUCUUCCGUACCUGAAAAGAGAAAGCAUCCUCCAAGCGCGAAUAUGAUUUUCCGGGUUGCUCCGCAUGCCAGCAUAACCACCAUCAAGACCGUGGCUAUUAUGACCACACCCAUCCCGGUGCUGUAUAGCACCUGUGUUGCUAGCAUAAAAUCUGCAAAAGCACAACUUGAGAGAUGUGUAAACACAGCGCAAUCACGACGAGUACUAGAGCAAUAUCGUUGCCGGCAAUCGUUAUACUGCUUACAACUGGAUUGCCGGUGUUCUGGUACAUCCGGAAGCAGAUCUCCCACAAGCCGAUUUUGUGGAAGAGCAUUCUGAACGACGGCACCAUUUCCGGGUGCAUUUCGCUGUCCACAACCAGCCAUGACGAUGUCCAGAAUCCCGUGAGCGUCAGCGCCGCCACCAGGAUCGUCAGGAUAACCGUACCCACAGAAACAUAAUCCAAAAUCAAUCGAUUACCCCAAGCCAUGUUCGAUAGCGUGGCAGCAUCACAGUAUAUUACCAAAAAUACAAAACGGUCUGUAAUUAGCACGAAAUUAUCCUUGUACAAUAAACCGAGAUCAGAACGCACUCCUUUCAAUAAUUGUAAAGCUGAGCGUCUGUAAAGUGGACAUUCCAAAAGUAUGCGUAUACACCGGCGUGUACAAACGUUUAUCCGGAAACAAUCUAUUUGAAAUGUUAAUAAGAGCAAGGUUAAUGU